Molecule: ribosomal RNA, 281 nt
Filed under: uncultured bacterium
Lineage: Bacteria
Description: partial 16S ribosomal RNA
Rfam family: Bacterial small subunit ribosomal RNA
Source: RNAcentral
AAUCUGCCCUUGACUCUGGGAUAAGCGUUGGAAACGACGUCUAAUACCGGAUACGACCCUUAGAGGCAUCUCUGGGGGUGGAAAGAAUUUUGGUCAGGGAUGAGCUCGCGGCCUAUCAGCUAGUUGGUGAGGUAAUGGCUCACCAAGGCGACGACGGGUAGCCGGCCUGAGAGGGUGACCGGCCACACUGGGACUGAGACACGGCCCAGACUCCUACGGGAGGCAGCAGUGGGGAAUAUUGCACAAUGGGCGAAAGCCUGAUGCAGCAACGCCGCGUGAGG